GUGGCGGACGGGUGAGUAACGCGUGAGUAACCUGCCUUUCAGAGGGGAAUAACGUUCUGAAAAGAACGCUAAUACCGCAUAACGUACAGUUACCGCAUGGUAGCAGUACCAAAGGAGCAAUCCGCUGAAAGAUGGACUCGCGUCCGAUUAGCUAGUUGGUGGGGUAAAGGCCUACCAAGGCGACGAUCGGUAGCCGGACUGAGAGGUUGAACGGCCACAUUGGGACUGAGACACGGCCCAG
This 241-nucleotide ribosomal RNA is filed under the name uncultured bacterium. Its description in RNAcentral is "partial 16S ribosomal RNA". It matches the Rfam family "Bacterial small subunit ribosomal RNA", at positions 95 to 334 of the family's 1533-position model. The record is from RNAcentral.